UGCAGAAUCCCGUGAACCAUCGAGUUUUUGAACGCAAGUUGCGCCCGAAGCCAUUACGCCGAGGGCACGUCUGACUGGGCGUCUCAC
This 87-nucleotide ribosomal RNA is filed under the name Stylogyne longifolia. Its description in RNAcentral is "partial 5.8S ribosomal RNA". It matches the Rfam family "5.8S ribosomal RNA", at positions 73 to 154 of the family's 154-position model. Rfam says of the family: 5.8S ribosomal RNA (5.8S rRNA) is a component of the large subunit of the eukaryotic ribosome. It is transcribed by RNA polymerase I as part of the 45S precursor that also contains 18S and 28S rRNA. Lineage: Eukaryota; Viridiplantae; Streptophyta; Magnoliopsida; Ericales; Primulaceae. The record is from RNAcentral.